UACAGAGGUCUCAAGCGUUGUUCGGAUUCAUUGGGCGUAAAGGGUGCGUAGGCGGCGCGGUAAGUCGGGUGUGAAAUCUUGGAGCUUAACUCCGAAACUGCAUUCGAUACUGCCGUGCUUGAGGACUGGAGAGGAGACUGGAAUUUACGGUGUAGCGGUGAAAUGCGUAGAUAUCGUAAGGAAGACCAGUGGCGAAGGCGGGUCUCUGGACAGUUCCUGACGCUGAGGCACGAAGGCCAGGGGAGCAAGCGGG
This 253-nucleotide ribosomal RNA is filed under the name uncultured bacterium. Its description in RNAcentral is "partial 16S ribosomal RNA". It matches the Rfam family "Bacterial small subunit ribosomal RNA", at positions 524 to 776 of the family's 1533-position model. The record is from RNAcentral.